GGGCAGAAUAAAAAAUUACUAAAAAAAAAUCUUCUCAAAAUUACGGAAAUCGAGCGGCGGCGGCGGCUCCCCCCGCCCGCCGGCCCGCCCGCCCCCUCCCCGGCUCCCCGGCCCCGGGCGCAGCGCGCAUGUGUCCUGCUAUAAUUAUGAUUAUCAAUAAUGCAUUGCGAUUAAUCAUAGAGGGGCUCUUUGAAAGGCGAUUGGCACCGGGCCAGCGCUAUUCAAACCCGCUCGCCUUAAUCAAUUAGUUUGUGAUUUGCUGCAGACCCCUGUCUCUCCGCGCGCUGGCCCAAUAAGCCGGCCGCGGGGCUGGCUCUGCGAGCCGCGCCGCCCGACACUGGGUUAACCCUCUUCGCGACCGCCCGGGACUCCGCGGCCGGGCCGCCGGGGGCCUGCCUUCUCGCCUCUGAGCACCCGGCGCCCCGGCCUGAGCCCCCCUCCCUCCCUCGGCCCCCCCAUCCCGGGCUGGGCCGACCCAAAUUAGCAUGCCCUCCCCGGAAUUAAGCCUCCCCGGGUGGGGGGUGGGGCCGGGCGGCGGGGGCUGGGGACCCGGGCUGCGGGCGCGCGGCGAACUUCCCAACUCCGGCGCUAGGAGCGCCGGCCCGCGGGGGGAGGGAGUCCCGUGGCGGGAUUUGGGGGGAGGAAGUCCCGUUUCGUGAGUGUUUCUUCGUUUCUUUAAGAGCUACCAGAAAGCAGCCCACCCCCACCCCCAUAAAAAAAAAAAUAAGCGAGUGGGGAAGAGCCAGCCCCACGCCGGUCCGCCUCCCGCCCGCGGCCCGGCCUCCCUCCCGCUCGCUGCUUGGCUCGGCGCUCCUUCGCCCCGAGUUCUCCAUCCCCUGGAUCCCGGGCUCGCGGGGGCGCGGAGAAGAGGACCAAGGAAAGGGCCAUCCGCAUGCAGGCAUUUAGAAACUGACUUCUUCGCUGGCGACCGCAAGUGCCUGUGAUUUUUACUUUCCGUCUACAUUGAACGUCUUGUACUGAAAUUCACUGAGCCCUGCAUGCCACAGUGCCUCGCUAAGGGGUCUCUGGGUACAAAAUGCCUCUCCAAGGAAAUGUUUCGAGAUGCGUGGAGAGGUUUGGAAGCUCUAGGAGAAGAAAGAUGUUGGGAACAAAUAACUGCCUGCACCUUCUCUCCUGCCCAGAGGAAAGAGCCAGGAAAUAGGAAGAUUUCCAAGCCAAAGUCUGCAACUCAUCCAUGGGGCUGCAGGAUCAUGCAUAUUGCCGACUGAACUCAGGACCACUGAAGUCUCCCAUGACCCACAAAUGCCUUGAACUAAACAUACUGCAGGGAUGCUGACAUCUAUAAACUUAUGAGUCCGAUGAGGUCUCCACUGAUAUUAAACCUCUUGAAGCCUUCUUUUGCUGUUUGUGUUUUUUAUUGUAAAAUGGGCAAAAUGAUAGUGUCUACCUGUCUUAGUCCUAGUCCAUU
This 1429-nucleotide long non-coding RNA is filed under the name Cervus hanglu yarkandensis (Yarkand deer). Its description in RNAcentral is "lncRNA (ENSCHYG00000005416.1)". Lineage: Eukaryota; Metazoa; Chordata; Mammalia; Artiodactyla; Cervidae. The record is from RNAcentral.